This 426-nucleotide ribosomal RNA is filed under the name uncultured bacterium. Its description in RNAcentral is "bacterial SSU rRNA". It matches the Rfam family "Bacterial small subunit ribosomal RNA", at positions 917 to 1345 of the family's 1533-position model. The record is from RNAcentral.
GGGCCCGCACAAGCGGUGGAGCAUGUGGUUUAAUUCGAUGAUACGCGAGGAACCUUACCAGGGCUUAAAUGUAGUGGGACAGGUCUAGAGAUAGACCCUUCUUCGGACUCAUUACAAGGUGCUGCAUGGUUGUCGUCAGCUCGUGCCGUGAGGUGUCAGGUUAAGUCCUAUAACGAGCGCAACCCCUAUCGUUAGUUGCCAGCGAGUAAUGUCGGGAACUCUAACGAAACUGCCAGUGCAAACUGUGAGGAAGGUGGGGAUGACGUCAAAUCAUCACGGCCCUUACGUCCUGGGCUACACACGUGCUACAAUGGCCGGUACAGAGAGCAGCCACUUCGCAAGAAGGAGCGAAUCUAUUAAAACCGGUCUCAGUUCGGAUCGGAGUCUGCAACUCGACUCCAUGAAGUCGGAAUUGCUAGUAAUCGC